UACGAAGGGGGCUAGCGUUGCUCGGAAUCACUGGGCGUAAAGGGUGCGUAGGCGGGUUUUUAAGUCAGGGGUGAAAUCCUGGAGCUCAACUCCAGAACUGCCUUUGAUACUGAGGAUCUUGAGUUCGGGAGAGGUGAGUGGAACUGCGAGUGUAGAGGUGAAAUUCGUAGAUAUUCGCAAGAACACCAGUGGCGAAGGCGGCUCACUGGCCCGAUACUGACGCUGAGGCACGAAAGCGUGGGGGAGCAAACAGG
Molecule: ribosomal RNA, 254 nt
Filed under: uncultured bacterium
Lineage: Bacteria
Description: partial 16S ribosomal RNA
Rfam family: Bacterial small subunit ribosomal RNA
Source: RNAcentral